This 486-nucleotide ribosomal RNA is filed under the name uncultured bacterium. Its description in RNAcentral is "partial 16S ribosomal RNA". It matches the Rfam family "Bacterial small subunit ribosomal RNA", at positions 30 to 507 of the family's 1533-position model. The record is from RNAcentral.
AUUGAACGCUGGCGGCAUGCCUUACACAUGCAAGUCGAACGGCAGCACGGGUGCUUGCCCCUGGUGGCGAGUGGCGAACGGGUGAGUAAUACAUCGGAACAUGUCCUGUAGUGGGGGAUAGCCCGGCGAAAGCCGGAUUCAUACCGCAUACGAUCUACGGAUUAAAGCGGGGGACCUUCGGGCCUCGCGCUAUAGGGUUGGCCGAUGGCUGAUUAGCUAGUUGGUGGGGUAAAGGCCUACCAAGGCGACGAUCAGUAGCUGGUCUGAGAGGACGACCAGCCACACUGGGACUGAGACACGGCCCAGACUCCUACGGGAGGCAGCAGUGGGGAAUUUUGGACAAUGGGCGAAAGCCUGAUCCAGCAAUGCCGCGUGUGUGAAGAAGGCCUUCGGGUUGUAAAGCACUUUUGUCCGGAAAGAAAUCCUUGGCCCUAAUACGGUCGGGGGAUGACGGUACCGGAAGAAUAAGCACCGGCUAACUACGUG